This is a long non-coding RNA of Helianthus annuus (common sunflower), 330 nucleotides long. RefSeq lists it as uncharacterized. The transcript has 3 exons. Lineage: Eukaryota; Viridiplantae; Streptophyta; Magnoliopsida; Asterales; Asteraceae. The record is from RefSeq and is a predicted model, not a curated record.
UCAACAACAGAGAGGGGCGACACCCACAUCUCCAAAACCCUAACAUCAACAAAAACUCUAAAUUGAAGGCUCAAAUCAUGUUGUAAUCAAAAUCUGAACAUAGAAUUGUGAUCUCCUCGUCAAGAAGGUCAUAAGGCAAGGAAUCCGGGACGUCAAGUGGACACGCCGGAGGUGAUACCCGCGGAAAAGGUGUGCUUUGAAGGUAUGAAUGAAUCUCUCCCGGAUGACGAUCAAGCACUUUGUCAAGAACCGAACACGCAAAUCGAAGCUUCCGCACUGAAUAUGAUUCUGUCUAAACUUUAAACAUGUCAUAAAGAUUUUGUUAAUGGU